Molecule: unclassified non-coding RNA, 26 nt
Filed under: Mus musculus (house mouse)
Lineage: Eukaryota; Metazoa; Chordata; Mammalia; Rodentia; Muridae
Description: oocyte_clustered_small_RNA650
Source: RNAcentral
AACAUGUGUGAUGUGUCACCGCAAAG